Molecule: ribosomal RNA, 1315 nt
Filed under: Staphylococcus aureus subsp. aureus ST772-MRSA-V
Lineage: Bacteria; Bacillati; Bacillota; Bacilli; Caryophanales; Staphylococcaceae
Description: bacterial SSU rRNA
Rfam family: Bacterial small subunit ribosomal RNA
Source: RNAcentral
AGAGUUUGAUCCUGGCUCAGGAUGAACGCUGGCGGCGUGCCUAAUACAUGCAAGUCGAGCGAACGGACGAGAAGCUUGCUUCUCUGAUGUUAGCGGCGGACGGGUGAGUAACACGUGGAUAACCUACCUAUAAGACUGGGAUAACUUCGGGAAACCGGAGCUAAUACCGGAUAAUAUUUUGAACCGCAUGGUUCAAAAGUGAAAGACGGUCUUGCUGUCACUUAUAGAUGGAUCCGCGCUGCAUUAGCUAGUUGGUAAGGUAACGGCUUACCAAGGCAACGAUGCAUAGCCGACCUGAGAGGGUGAUCGGCCACACUGGAACUGAGACACGGUCCAGACUCCUACGGGAGGCAGCAGUAGGGAAUCUUCCGCAAUGGGCGAAAGCCUGACGGAGCAACGCCGCGUGAGUGAUGAAGGUCUUCGGAUCGUAAAACUCUGUUAUUAGGGAAGAACAUAUGUGUAAGUAACUGUGCACAUCUUGACGGUACCUAAUCAGAAAGCCACGGCUAACUACGUGCCAGCAGCCGCGGUAAUACGUAGGUGGCAAGCGUUAUCCGGAAUUAUUGGGCGUAAAGCGCGCGUAGGCGGUUUUUUAAGUCUGAUGUGAAAGCCCACGGCUCAACCGUGGAGGGUCAUUGGAAACUGGAAAACUUGAGUGCAGAAGAGGAAAGUGGAAUUCCAUGUGUAGCGGUGAAAUGCGCAGAGAUAUGGAGGAACACCAGUGGCGAAGGCGACUUUCUGGUCUGUAACUGACGCUGAUGUGCGAAAGCGUGGGGAUCAAACAGGAUUAGAUACCCUGGUAGUCCACGCCGUAAACGAUGAGUGCUAAGUGUUAGGGGGUUUCCGCCCCUUAGUGCUGCAGCUAACGCAUUAAGCACUCCGCCUGGGGAGUACGACCGCAAGGUUGAAACUCAAAGGAAUUGACGGGGACCCGCACAAGCGGUGGAGCAUGUGGUUUAAUUCGAAGCAACGCGAAGAACCUUACCAAAUCUUGACAUCCUUUGACAACUCUAGAGAUAGAGCUUUCCCCUUCGGGGGACAAAGUGACAGGUGGUGCAUGGUUGUCGUCAGCUCGUGUCGUGAGAUGUUGGGUUAAGUCCCGCAACGAGCGCAACCCUUAAGCUUAGUUGCCAUCAUUAAGUUGGGCACUCUAAGUUGACUGCCGGUGACAAACCGGAGGAAGGUGGGGAUGACGUCAAAUCAUCAUGCCCCUUAUGAUUUGGGCUACACACGUGCUACAAUGGACAAUACAAAGGGCAGCGAAACCGCGAGGUCAAGCAAAUCCCAUAAAGUUGUUCUCAGUUCGGAUUGUAGU